Molecule: ribosomal RNA, 253 nt
Filed under: uncultured bacterium
Lineage: Bacteria
Description: partial 16S ribosomal RNA
Rfam family: Bacterial small subunit ribosomal RNA
Source: RNAcentral
UACGUAGGGUGCGAGCGUUAUUCGGAAUUACUGGGCGUAAAGCGUGCGCAGGCGGUUCGCCAAGUCAGGUGUGAAAUCCCCGGGCUUAACCUGGGAAUUGCGCUUGAAACUAGCGGGCUUGAGUGUGGCAGAGGGGGGUGGAAUUCCACGUGUAGCAGUGAAAUGCGUAGAGAUGGGGAGGAACACCGAUGGCGAAGGCAGCCCCCUGGGUCAACACUGACGCUCAUGCACGAAAGCGUGGGGAGCAAACAGG